UCCUUCGAAGCAUUGAUGGCGAUGCACGGGACUCUUAAUCCUGGGAACCAAGUUCGAUUCUUGGCGGGGGAA
Molecule: transfer RNA, 72 nt
Filed under: Cyanothece sp. SIO1E1
Lineage: Bacteria; Bacillati; Cyanobacteriota; Cyanophyceae; Gomontiellales; Cyanothecaceae
Description: tRNA-Lys
Rfam family: tRNA
About the family: Transfer RNA (tRNA) molecules are approximately 80 nucleotides in length. Their secondary structure includes four short double-helical elements and three loops (D, anti-codon, and T loops).
Source: RNAcentral